GAUGAAGAACGCAGUGAAAUGCGAUACUUGGUGUGAAUUGCAGAAUCCCGUGAACCAUCGAGUCUUUGAACGCAAGUUGCGCCCGAAGCCGUCAGGCCGAGGGCACGCCUGCCUGGGCGUCACACGCCGUUGCCCCCCCCCAGCGCCUCCCUCGGGAGCGUCGGGGGGAGCGGACGAUGGCCUCCCGUGCGACACCCCGUGCGGUUGGCACAAAUGCCGGGUCCUCGGCGACGAACGCCACGACAAUCGGUGGUUGUCAAACCUCGGUGGCCCGUUGUGCGCCUUCGUCGCGCCACGAGCGGCCCGCGAUAGCGAACGGCUCCGUUCCGGCGAAGCUUUCAACGCGACCCCAGGUCAGGCGGGGUUACCCGCUGAAUUUAAGCAUAUCAAUAAGCGGAGGA
RNAcentral lists this unclassified non-coding RNA (401 nucleotides) under soil metagenome. Its description in RNAcentral is "partial contains 5.8S ribosomal RNA, internal transcribed spacer 2, and large subunit ribosomal RNA". The stretch from base 1 to 122 matches the Rfam family "5.8S ribosomal RNA", at positions 35 to 154 of the family's 154-position model. The record is from RNAcentral.